UUCGCUCGCUUCCUCUAUAUGAGCCUUCCAGAAAGCCCGGGCCGACGUCUAUCCACUCAUCCGUGCGCACAAAAGCGUAGACGAGGGCAGAUUCAAGCACACACGCCUAUCGCAGCCCUUGCACUGCUUCCCUCCACUUUCUCUCGUCAUCCCCCAGCUACUGGUUACACCGCCCUUGACCCCCCGCUUCCCAACGCUCUCGCAUGCCACUGAGCUUGGUGACCUCUCAGGUGCGCCAGGAGGUGCACAACUUCUUCCAAGGUGUCGUGGAGAGCUUCGGCGUUGUUUUGGUGUGGUCAUACGCGCUUGAUAAGCGCCGCGCGCGCGACGGGGCCGAGGUGACGGAUGAGCAGGGCAGAUUUUCACCUCCGCCGUUUUCAUCCACACCGUUGGCGGAUGUGGCUGAGGGGGCGGCUGCAGAAGGCGCACUUGCGACAACGCCAAUGCCAGGGUCCGCUGCGCCGCUGCCGCGGACCGCGGCUCUCUCUGGGAGCGGCUCUGGUGCACCCCGUCUGGCGCGCACCUUCUUGAUGCCGUCGUGGAGUUUGCUGGAGCGAGAUCCGAAGUUGUGGAUGCUCCUGCGCAAGAACCUCCUGGCAAACCUUGCCCUUGCCUGCCUUACGCUCAUGUACAUGGGUCUCUCACGUUGCCUCGCCUCGAACACGCCAUCUUUUCUUAGUAGGGCGGCUGCUGGCGGUAGAAGUGCGACCACCGCGAGUCUUUCAGCGGACGCGCGCAGCAGCAACGGUACCACUGCAACGAGGUCCCUCACCACCUCCCUGGUAUUUCUCUUGCUGUUAUGGUCGGUGCGGUUGGGCCUGUGGAUGCUCAAGUACGUUGGCCAGUGGCCCUUCUACACUCUUCUGCAGAUUAUCGGACUUGUAUGGUUUAGCCAGCUCUACCGCGAAACCUGGCUGGUGCGCAAGGGUUGGGUGCUCCGUGGCACCGAGUUACGCGAGGCACCAGCCGCGGGGUCAGCGAAGAACAAAGCCAUGGCGGGUGGUGGCGGAGGUGGCAGCGAUGCCGGUGCCGCCUCCCAUCACGCACCUCCUACGUCGCCGCCGCCGUCCGUCGCCGCCGGCGCGGCGCUGCCAUGGCUUUCACUUAUUCCACUGUAUUCCGGCGCCGAAAGCAGCGGUGACGGCGAGGAUGGUACGUCGUACGAGGCACGAGGGUUCUCAUCUUCGUUACUGCUCAUGUGCACGGCGCUUCUGCGCUCUGUGCCGCCGUACGUACGACACACCACGAACUUAGUGUGGCGCAUGAUCACGCACAAGGGCCCGACAGCAGUGCUGCAGGACUGGGUACUCGGCGACGCUUCCAAAGCUGCCGCUGCUGCUGCCGCCGCCUCUGCUUUGACCAGCGCCCGCCACCAUCAUGCCUAUGCCUCGGGUGCAGCAUCGCCGCAUCAGUCGCAGACAAUGUCCACAAGCCCCGACCCGUUUGCGACCGUCGUCCUUCAGCUAGAAGCCAUCAGCGAGGUGCUUUUCAAGGCGCUGGCAACCAUGUCCUUUGCGCUCUUCGCAUCCGCAAUCGAACGACUGCCGCUGAUCGGCACGCCACUAUGUGCGGUGCUCAACGCGCAGCUCUACGUGUUCUACGUGUUCGACUACCGGUAUGCCGCGCAGCAGCAACCGGACGCGGUGCACCAUCGCGGGUCAGCGCUCACGUACCAGCUGCGUCACUUUGAGCAGUGCUCGAUGUACUACGCUGGCUACGGCAUGAGCUCCGCCGUGCUGUCGCUGUGGCUGACACACCAGCUCGGCACAGUCGUCUCUGUGUGCGCCGUGUCGGUGCUGUACUCGUGGCAGGUGGUGUGGAGCGGCUUUGCAGUGCCGCUACCCUCGUCUCGACCGGUGCCGCUCUUCUCCGUGUGGUUCUACGCGGUGGAUAUGGCGCAGCGACACUAUGCUGUGCUCUGGCGCGUAGUGGUGAUUGCCAUCCUCCUAUAUCUGCCCUUGGACUGUGCGUGUUGGUUGCUCGGCACUGGCGUGUGAAGAGUUCUGCAGCCGUGGGCGGCCUUUCCCAGAGGACCUGUGGUACUUGUUCCGUUUUCGUCCUGCAACACCCCCUCCCUCUCAGGGAGUUUGUCGUGUCUGUGUUUCGGCACGCGUGCGCGUGCCUUUGUGAAAACGCCUGCUGCACGCAUCGCCUCACUUCGCGGUGCCCAAGAGCACAGAUUCCUGCCGGAUGGCGGCGCGACGAUCGAUGCGCGCCACUCGCUCACCACGGUGCAGGG
Molecule: unclassified non-coding RNA, 2239 nt
Filed under: Leishmania donovani
Lineage: Eukaryota; Euglenozoa; Kinetoplastea; Trypanosomatida; Trypanosomatidae
Description: gene:LdHU3.29.1760(CDS-product:Etoposide-induced_ protein_2.4_(EI24)_putative)
Source: RNAcentral